GAUGAAGAACGUAGCGAAAUGCGAUAAGUAAUGUGAAUUGCAGAAUUCAGUGAAUCAUCGAAUCUUUGAACGCAUCUUGCGCUCCUUGGUAUUCUGAGGAGCAUGCCUGUUUGAGUGUCAUUAAAUUCUCAACUACACUGACUUUGAAUUGGUGUGGCUUGGAUUUGGGGGGAAAAUUGUUGUGGGCUUUUUGUAUAGUCUGCUCCCCUGAAAUUGAUUAGCGGUACCUUUGUGGAACUGUCUACAGGUGUUAUAAUUAUCUACAUCUUAGACAUCUGCUGGAAUGCUGCUUUCUAAACCUUACUUGUAUUGACAAUCUUGACCUCAAAUCAGGUAGGACUACCCGCUGAACUUAAGCAUAUCAAUAAGCGGAGGA
This 376-nucleotide unclassified non-coding RNA is filed under the name soil metagenome. RNAcentral describes it as "partial contains 5.8S ribosomal RNA, internal transcribed spacer 2, and large subunit ribosomal RNA". The stretch from base 1 to 120 matches the Rfam family "5.8S ribosomal RNA", at positions 35 to 154 of the family's 154-position model. The record is from RNAcentral.